GACGAACGCUGGCGGCGUGCUUAACACAUGCAAGUCGAACGGUGAAGCCUUCGGGUGGAUCAGUGGCGAACGGGUGAGUAACACGUGAGCAAUCUGCCCUUGACUCUGGGAUAACUUCGGGAAACCGGAGCUAAUACCGGAUAUGACAUCUGGCCGCAUGGUCUGGGUGUGGAAAGAUUUAUCGGUCAAGGAUGAGCUCGCGGCCUAUCAGCUUGUUGGGGGGUAAUGGCCCACCAAGGCGACGACGGGUAGCCGGCCUGAGAGGGCGACCGGCCACACUGGGACUGAGACACGGCCCAGACUCCUACGGGAGGCAGCAGUGGGGAAUAUUGCGCAAUGGGCGGAAGCCUGACGCAGCGACGCCGCGUGAGGGAUGAAGGCCU
This 383-nucleotide ribosomal RNA is filed under the name uncultured bacterium. RNAcentral's name for it is "bacterial SSU rRNA". It matches the Rfam family "Bacterial small subunit ribosomal RNA", at positions 28 to 417 of the family's 1533-position model. The record is from RNAcentral.